GCAAGUGUUGAAAAUAAACAGAGAAGCUGACACAAAGGCAAACAAAUCUAGGAUCUAUCUUUAAAAGUAAAGUCUUUAGGGCAUUGGUAUGAAUAUCAGGACCUGACCCUAAGAGAAAAUAGCUUCUCAGAAGUGAUGUGGUGAAACAGAAAUUGAUGGAAACACAGAGCAAGCAACAGAUCUGCUCAGCCAGGACUGGAUUUGAGCAUAUCUGGUUUUCGUGCUCACAGCAUCCUGCUGAGUUGACAAUAGGGUUCAAAAAUGAACUACAGAGUUAUCUGUUUAAGAAAGAAAUAAACUUUGUAAGGCCUUGUUAGAAAUCACUUUUAAAGUAUUUUUGUUAGUGGAGUUUUCCUCUGAUGUAUUAUUGUUUGGGUUGCACUUAGUACAUCUGAAUAAAAUAAAUGCUGGGAUAUUUCUAAUUUCUGGUGAUUGUCAAAGGCUAGUCAUUUGAAACAUGCCUGUUAGGAUUUCACAAUGGCCUUGUCAUUGGGAAUUAUGAUUCAUCAUCUACAUAGAAUAAUAAGCACAGAAAAGAAAGGAAAUGUCAGAACAAGUUGACUAUUUCAACUUAGACUCUGCUAGGCUUUGUAUUCAGAAGAAAGAAUUGUUCCAAUUACUUGUGAUUGCUGCAAGCUUCUGGGGAUGUUGAAACAAGUUUACUACAAGUGAUAUCAGUACAAAAAAACAAAAUCUAAAAGAAGAUACAUCAAUGUUCCAUUGAUGUGCCUUCAUGAAAUUUUCUUUCUUUGCUUAAUAUUUAGUUUUCAAGAUCCACAAGAUGGUCUUAAAAUCUUGCAGACUUGGAGACUCAGGUCACUUAUAUGUGUCUUUACUCUGUGGACAUAUUUUUAGUUAAUUUUAAAGGUCACCUUCCUUCUGAGAACCUAAAGGUGGUAUUCCUUAGAGAAAGAAGAAAAUGGGAAGGUUUUUGUGCAUUUUUUUUUUUCCUACCUUUAAAGCAAUCCUGUUUACAUGUCAUGCUGCUUUGAUGUUAUGUGACAGGUCAUCAUUCAGAUCAUUGUGCUUUCAUUCAUUCAGUACACAAGCAAGUAAAAAUGUGCAUGGUCUUUGUUCUAAUAAAAAAAAAUAUCCUGCAGGAGAGAUGAAGAGAAUGCUUGCAUAUGGUCCAUGGGACCACAAUCCAUAAUUUACUUUGCAGAUGUCUGUGUAAUUUAAGCAACAGGCAGAACAACCACAUAGUCGUAGCUGCUCUGGGGAAAGGAUACCAAGAGGCUCAUAAAUCAUGGUAAGGAUUAAAAGCAAUGAGCAUUCAUCUUCUUAACCUCGUAAAGGCAAAUUGGAAAGCCAAGGAUUAGAACACAGAGAGCAUCCAAUCUUUUGCAGGGGGAAAGGUGUCAAAGUUUUUAAGGCUUCUCUCUAUUAGCAUUGACCUGCCAUUUGGCAAGUCAGCAGAACGUAAUUUUUAAACUGAUUUUCAAAAAAGCCCCUCCCCCAUCAAAAUGAAACAUAUCUGUCAGUAUAGUAAAAGUGGAGACAAUUUAUGUAGAAAAGUGAAUCAUUUUCCUAGAUUGAAACAUAUUUCUUCUUUGACAGUAUAUGGAAAAUAACCUUAAUAAUCCAAUCCAAAAAGAACUUCAUGUUUAGUUAAACAUGUUUAAAUAGUGAAAUGUCAUGAGAAAAAUUUAACUUCAGAAUAGUCAAAUGAAGCAGAUAAAGACAGCUGGGUCUCUUCUAUAACAUUUAGUAAACAAAUGGCCUGUUACUAAUUGUUUAUAUUUGAAAAAUUAUCCUAAUCAAAGGUCUUUGGCUGCAAAUGAGGGAAUCAUACACAGUAAGAAGUUUCAUUUUUUGUUGAAGAUAGAAACUUUAAUCAAAUUUUAAAGCUCUUGAAAAUACUAAUUUGUUAAUUUGCUCAGUAUUCUUUUCACUUAGACUCAUGAUACACCUGAACUUUGCAGUUUUAUAAAAACACCAGGAUAGAGCAGAGAAUAAUAAAAUCACUUUUCAAGGAUAAUGAGCCCAUUAAGGAGACAAAUAAAUUCUAGUUUCUGAUUCCCUGGUUUAUUUAAUAUCAAAUAUCCUUUGUCAAUGAUUCUUUAAUGUAACCAAUACUUAGCUAUCUGUUUUAGUUAAGGGGGGGGGGCUACAGUGCUGCUAAUCCAGAGUGGCUGACAGUGAAAAAUACGUAUUUGUAUUUAGCAUUAAAAAGUAUUUUGUGUUCAUAUUUGAGCAUGAUUUCACCUGACAUUUAGAAAGCCACAAUUACCCAGUGUUUGAAAACAAUCAGAGUAACAUAGCAUAUCUUUUAAUUUGGGCUACUUCUGUACUGAGUGUACCCUACCCUAUACUCCAUGCUUUGGGACAAAUAAUCUUUCUUUCCAUUUGGUAGGCAUGUGCCAAUCUCAGCCUCUCAGUUUAUCCCUCCCUGCAAAGUUUCCCCUUUGGUAAUCAUAAGUUUGCUUUUGAAAUCUUUGAGUCUGUUUCUGUUUUGUGAGUCAGUUCUUUUGUAUCAUUUUAUUAGAUUCCAUGUAUUAGUGAUCUUACAUGAUAUUUGCCUUUCUCUGUCUGACUUACUUUACUUAGUGUUAUAAUCUCUAGGUCCAACCAUGUUGUUGCAGUGACAUUGUUUUGUUCUUUUUUAUGGACAAGUAAUAUUUCAUCGAAUAUAUGUACCACAUCUUCUUUAUCCAUUCCUUUGUUGAUGGACAUUUAGGUUGCUUCCAUGUCUUGGCUAUUGUAUAUAGUGCUACAACGAACAUUGGGAUGUAUGUAUCUUUUUGAAUUAUGUCUUUCUCUGGAUAUAUGCCCAGGAGUGGGCUUGCUGAAUCAUAUGGUAGUUCUAUAUUUAGUUCCCUAAGGACCCUCCAUAGUGUUCUCCAUAGUGGUUACAUCAAUUUACAUUUCUCCCGACGGUAUCAAAUGCUCUGAUGCAAGCUUAUGUACAAUUUUAGAGCAAAACAACUUUAUUGUAUUGUCCACCAUUACAUUUAACUGUUCCUUUAUCUGUUUUCUAACAAUGUUGAGUUGAAUUUCCCAGGAUCAAUUCAAGGCAAGAAAGGAAGAGAAUUUUGAAUCUCUGUUUAUGUGGCUUCUUUGCCACAUGAGGUAAAUGUGCUAUUGUAAUAAUUAAAUGAGAAAAACAUUGUAUAUUUUUGCACUAAAAAUAGGCUAAAUCACUUUUGACUUCAUAAUGACACUAUUUAAUGACAAAAGUAUGGGUCCCAGAGCCUGCUAAAAACAAUAAACUAUUAUUUAAAAAGAGCAAAUAUUUGUACCUGUGCCUACAUAUCUUAAUUACUUUUUAAAUUUAUUAUUAAAUAAGUGUAAUGAAUUUUAAAAAUGAUAUACAUUAAAUAUAUUUUAAUAUUUUAAAAUUCUUGUUUUUAUAUUUCAGAUACCUCUGUAAAGUGAGCAUCAUACAGACAAAAAUUAAUUCACUUUUCUUCUUUGUUUUCUUCCUUAAUAGCUUUCUCCCUAAUUUACAUAAAGCAUUCCAUGCUUAGCAGCAAGGGGAGAUAAAUUAUAGAUUUGUGGAUUAAUUUAUUCAAAAAUAUUAUUGAAAACAGUCUAUACAUUACUUUGUGCCAGUGACUCUCUCUGGGUAGUAUAUAAAUUUGUGAAAUAUAUCAUUAAAAAUUACAAACCUGGAGUUCCCAUUAUGGCUCAGUGGGUUAAGAACCCAACAUAGUGUCCAUAAGGAUGAAGGUUUGAUUCCCUGGCUUGCUCAGUUGGUAAGGAUCUGCAUUUCCAUAAGCUGCAACAUGGGUUGCAGGUGCAGCUCAGAUCCAGUGUUGCCAUGUCUCUUUUAUAGGCCUGCAGCUGCAGCUCUAAUUUGACCCCUGGCCUGGGAACUUGCAUAUGCUACAGUUGCUGCUGUAAAAAGAAAAAGAAAAUUACUUACCAUGUUGGUACCUGAAUUCUAGUGAAAAGAAUAAAAACAAAGAAAUUAUAUAAUAUGCAAAUUAUAUUUAAAUUAUAGAUAAAUCAGUAUAUAGAUAAUGAGAAAUGCUAUGCCAAAAUAAGCUGAGAAGAGAGAUAGGAAGUUUUUGUGUUGAAAAGCAAAGGGGAUAUAGUAUUUUGCUAAAUUUUAAAACAUGGUUAAAAGAAGGCCUUCCCAAUAAUAUAACCUUUGGGAAUAUUUGAGAUAAAGUUGAGAACAACUAUUAAAAUAUCUAGAGAACAGCACUCCAAAAUAAACUAUGCAUUUCAAGUUGACAAGGUGGGAAUAAUUUGAUGUGCCUGAUUAAAACCCAGCAAAAUCAGUGGGAUGAAAGUUAAGAAAGAGAAUGGGGAAGGAUUAUAGGAAGUGAGGUCUAAUAAACAGGGGCCUUGUGUGGUAAGUUAGAGACUUUGCUUUUUCCUCCAAGUGAGACUAGAAGUCAUUGGAUGGGCCUGGACAGAACAGGGGCCAUGAUAAACUAUUUUAUCAUUGAAGGUGAUUUCUCUGGUUGAGGUGUCGACUUUGUGCUAUAGGGGCACAGGACUGGAAUUAGGGAACCCUCCUUAAGGCAAGCACAGUAACACAGGUGUGCAAUAUGGUAGCUGAAACCUGGGCUACAGCAGACCAGAUAGUGAGAAGUAGGGAGACUGACACCAGAUGAUUUGAUGGUACAUUAUAUGCGUGGUGUGAAAAGAUGAGUAAGGUCCAGGGUAACUCCAGGACAUGUGGCCUAAGGAACUGAUGAAAGCUUGGCAUGGGAAGAUGGCAGUGUGAGUGGUGCUUUCUACAGCAGCUAAGUCAUAAGGCUUAUUGCCUCAUGGUCAGUUGAGAAACUAUAACAUACAGGAAGUAAAAUAAAUGUAUUCCCUAAUUACUUGCUGAUUUUAUGGGGAAAUAUGUAUAGGUGGAUAUGAAAGAGAGUAAGGAUCAAUUCAUCUCAGGAGAAGAAAGAGGAUUCAUUGAAGGGUGGAGUUAGACACAAUGAGGGCAAAGGGAUCUUUGCUCAGUGCUUUGGGGUAUUUGAGAAGACGUCUGUACACCUCUCAACAUGUCUGCAGCCUCAGGAGAAAGGUGGAAUUGGAUGGUUAACAGAGGAAGGAUCUGGCUGAGCUGAGAAUAGAUAAUAUAUUUAUUAGCUGAAAGUAUCAAUAAUAUGUAACAAAUAAGCUCAAGGAAGCAACUAGACUCAACACACCUGAGCAGACACCAGUAACUCCACAAGGCAGCAUCACCACUGUUCCAGAAAGUCUUUUUCCUUCCAUCUCUACAAGGUCACAUGAGCCCCCUUUAUCUUAAAUACAAGCCCAGGGAAAGAUGCAAAAGACCAUAUAAUACCCCAGAGAUCCUGGUGUACCUAUUUAUAAAGUACUUAAAUUUUUAGGCCUAACAAAAUUUUAAACUAGAGGUGAGGUUGCUCAUGAGAAAAGUCAUCAGUUUGGAAAACAAAGGCACAACAUUUUCAUUGCAUAUCUGAGUCUUAUUGCAAAUAUAAUCUGUGACAUUACAAUUCAUGACACUAUGAAAAGAAUACUUAGGGCAAGUGCAUUCCUAUCAUUUGGCAACACUGGCUAAAACUAAUCUUAAAUAAUAUGUAAUAUUUUAAUGUUUAUUUAAUAAAUGUCCAUGGCGAAAAUAUAGAUGAAAUUUAAAAGAUCAAGUUUUAGUAGUAUAGGUAGUUAGAUGCAGGUACAAGGGCUUUUCAGACUUAUAUAUUAUAUGUUCUAUUAAUGGAACUACCUUAGAAAAUGUCUCAGAGUAGAUUUAUAUCUAAUCUUUGGAUAUCACAAAGAAAUAGUUCUUAGAAAAUCAGAGAAAUGUGAGAACGUGGGAGAGAUUAUCAUUUAUAUUUAUGAUAAAUCUGAGGGAGCCAUGUGGUUGGUUUUUAAUCAGGAUGUAGAAUGUCUUCUUCUAAUUCUAUAAAAAUCUCCGUAUUUAGCUAUGGUGCUUAGAAUGGCAAACAUCCGAAUCACUUCACUAAUUAACACAAUUGUCAUAUUCUGGCUCCUAUAGAGACAAAUAAUUAAGCUGGGAUCCAAACAUAUUAGGUGGUUCUAGCAGCCUGGCAAUGAUGUAUGGUGUUCUACAUUCUGUGGUCAGAAAUCCUCUACUGUCAUUUCUUGAUAGUAUUUCUUAUAUUUUAUGUGCAGAUUCUUCGGCAAAGCUGAAUUUCAUAGGUUCAUGUUACAGUUAUAAGUUUCUUUAUGGCUUUUUGUCUUAUUCUAAUUACACUCUCAGGAUUUCUGCAUCUUCUCCGGACCCUGCAGCCUUAUUUGGCCUGGAUUCCAUGGUGUAGUCCUCUCCCCUCACUUCCUUUUAAGAGCCUCCUUAGUAGGCUUAGCUUUUCUAAAGAUCUUAUUCCUCAUAGCCAGCCAUAUAGCUACAAUUUGGGGGAGGGGGAGGAUGCAGAUUAUUUAGGUGUUAUAAAUUUUUUUAAAACUUAACAUUUGGGAUUCCUAUGCUUUUUUAAACAAAAUGGAAACAAACUUGUGGUUCAUGGUUC
Molecule: long non-coding RNA, 6404 nt
Filed under: Sus scrofa (pig)
Lineage: Eukaryota; Metazoa; Chordata; Mammalia; Artiodactyla; Suidae
Description: lncRNA (ENSSSCG00000057614.1)
Source: RNAcentral